RNAcentral lists this ribosomal RNA (496 nucleotides) under Trochalus sp. DA1526. RNAcentral's name for it is "partial 16S large subunit ribosomal RNA". It matches the Rfam family "Bacterial large subunit ribosomal RNA", at positions 1844 to 2600 of the family's 2925-position model. Lineage: Eukaryota; Metazoa; Arthropoda; Insecta; Coleoptera; Scarabaeidae. RNAcentral also lists the same sequence under 1 other name. The record is from RNAcentral.
UUUAAGGUCUAAUCUGCCCUAUGAGGGGUUAAAUGGCCGCGGUACUUUGACCGUGCAAAGGUAGCAUAAUAAUUAGUUUUUUAAUUGGAAGCUGGAAUGAACGAUUGAACGAGAAGAUAGCUGUCUCUAUUUAAUUUUAUUAGAAUUUUAUUUUUGAGUAAGAAAGCUUAAAUGGUUUUGAAAGACGAGAAGACCCUAUAGAGUUUUAUAUUUUAGUUUAUAUUGGUUUUGUAGAAAAUUUUGGUAGAUUUAAGUUAGAAUAUUUUGUUGGGGUGAUGGGAAAAUUGAUUGAACUUUUUUUUUAAGUUUUUCAUUGAUAUAUGAUUAUUUGAUCCAUUUUUAAUGAUUAUAAGUUUAAAUUACCUUAGGGAUAACAGCGUAAUUUUUUUUUAGAGUUCUUAUCGAAAGAAGAGAUUGCGACCUCGAUGUUGGAUUAAAAUAGGUAUUUGGUGUAGGGGCUAAACCACUAGGUCUGUUCGACCUUUAAAAUUUUACA